CCCUUAGAUGUUCUGGGCGGCCCGCGCACUACAUUGGCACUAGCAAAGAGAUCCUAGAUUGAAUUCUUUGGGGUAUUCUUCUAAAUGGUGUCGUGACUGGGAUAAAUCCUUGUAAUUAUUGGUUUUGAACGAGGAAUUCCUUGUAAUCGCGGUUUAUCAGCUCGCGUUGAAUGCGUCCCUGCCCUUUGUACACACCGCCCGUCGCUCCUACCGAUGGAUCGUCCGGUGAAGCUCACGGAGUGACUGUUCACGCAGCGGUUUACGAAGUGAAAUGGACCUCACGAUUUAGAGGAAGGAGAAGUCGUAACA
Molecule: ribosomal RNA, 309 nt
Filed under: uncultured eukaryote
Lineage: Eukaryota
Description: partial 18S ribosomal RNA
Rfam family: Eukaryotic small subunit ribosomal RNA
Source: RNAcentral